GCCCCGAUGGUGUAGUCGGUUAUCAUACGGGACUGUCAAUCCCGUGACCCGGGUCCGAAUCCCGGUCGGGGCG
This 73-nucleotide transfer RNA is filed under the name archaeon. RNAcentral's name for it is "tRNA-Asp". It matches the Rfam family "tRNA". Rfam says of the family: Transfer RNA (tRNA) molecules are approximately 80 nucleotides in length. Their secondary structure includes four short double-helical elements and three loops (D, anti-codon, and T loops). Further hydrogen bonds mediate the characteristic L-shaped molecular structure. tRNAs have two regions of fundamental functional importance: the anti-codon, which is responsible for specific mRNA codon recognition, and the 3' end, to which the tRNAs corresponding amino acid is attached (by aminoacyl-tRNA synthetases). tRNAs cope with the degeneracy of the genetic code in two manners: having more than one tRNA (with a specific anti-codon) for a particular amino acid; and 'wobble' base-pairing, i.e. permitting non-standard base-pairing at the 3rd anti-codon position. The record is from RNAcentral.